AGUCGAGCGCGUCCUUUCGGGGGCGAGCGGCGGACGGGUGAGUAACGCGUGGGAACGUGCCCCAAGGUACGGAAUAGCCCCGGGAAACUGGGAGUAAUACCGUAUGUGCUCUGUCAUCGUGGAGAUGGCGGAGGAAAGAAUUUCGCCUUGGGAUCGGCCCGCGUUGGAUUAGGUAGUUGGUGGGGUAACGGCCCACCAAGCCGACGAUCCAUAGCUGGUUUGAGAGGAUGAUCAGCCACACUGGGACUGAGACACGGCCCAGACUCCUACGGGAGGCAGCAGUGGGGAAUCUUAGACAAUGGGGGCAACCCUGAUCUAGCCAUGCCGCGUGAGUGACGAAGGCCUUCGGGUUGUAAAGCUCUUUCAGUGGGGAAGAUAAUGACGGUACCCACAGAAGAAGCCCCGGCUAACUCCGUGCCAGCAGCCGCGGUAAUACGGAGGGGGCUAGCGUUGUUCGGAAUUACUGGGCGUAAAGCGCACGUAGGCGGAUUGUUAAGUCGGGGGUGAAAUCCCGGGGCUCAACCCCGGAACUGCCUUCGAUACUGGCAAUCUGGAGUCCGAGAGAGGUGAGUGGAAUUCCGAGUGU
Molecule: ribosomal RNA, 586 nt
Filed under: bacterium SL3.44
Lineage: Bacteria
Description: bacterial SSU rRNA
Rfam family: Bacterial small subunit ribosomal RNA
Source: RNAcentral